UGAGUAACCUGCCCCUGGCUCUGGGAUAACCCCGGGAAACCGGAAGCUAAUACCGGAUACGAGACCGAUUGGCAUCUAUACGGCCUGGAAAGUUUUUCGGCCAGGGAUGGGCUCGCGGCCUAUCAGCUUGUUGGUGGGGUAAUGGCCCACCAAGGCGACGACGGGUAGCCGGCCUGAGAGGGCGAUCGGCCACACUGGGACUGAGACACGGCCUAGACUCCUACGGGAGGCA
Molecule: ribosomal RNA, 232 nt
Filed under: uncultured bacterium
Lineage: Bacteria
Description: partial 16S ribosomal RNA
Rfam family: Bacterial small subunit ribosomal RNA
Source: RNAcentral